CUUCCUCUCUCGUUGCGCCUUUUCAACCCAACUCUUUAAACAACCGAAGCCACCCAAUUUCACUACGUCCAAUCCUACCCAAUGACAUGGCCAUGUAAUAUUUAAACACCUGUCAUUUAAGGCUCUUCCCAUACAGGCCCUUGUUAUCUUGUAAACUAAACACCCAACUUUCAUCUUGAACCCAUAACCAAACACCCAUCUUCUUCCUUUCUUCUUUUCCAGGCCCGGCGCCCCAACCGCUUUCCGUCAAUCUCAUUCCCGCACCUCCUCCCCCAACCUCCCCUCCGUCCAUCCCAACCACAUCGCCUUCCCCGUCGAUCCACUCCCACCCCCUUCUCCAUCGUCCCUACCCCAAUCUCUUCUCCAACUCUCCUCCGUCAAUCCCAUUCCUAAACCACAAACAUGGAGAAAAGAAGACCCAUCCCCACCGACCUUGUCGCUUUCACCUGUGUCUGGAAUUAUACGUUAUUGCUUGUGAAGGAAAAAUCUAUCAGUACGUAGUACAGAGAUCUAAGGCUAUAAAGGGUGGUAAGAGGAGGAUGAUGCAUAUGGGCAGCAAAGCGGAAGGUCCGAAACUUGGCCUCUGGGGGCAAGGACAUGAAAGUGGUCUGUAGGAAUGGGUCUACAUCGUUGAAGUGGGCCACGUCGGAGUCAGUAUACUUGUGGAAGAACAGACAUGCUCUUGAGAAAGGGAGUGAGUCUAAGGAGUAACGACGAGAUACUCGUGUUAGGGUCCCCAAAGCCUAGUGCAUGCUAAAUUAUUGGUAUGUCCAGCCCAACCUUUUUUUUAAUAAGGGAAAUGAUAGAGACAAUUUAUAAACUAAAUUUGUAAACUAAAUGAUAUGAAAAUUAAUAAACGUGUUUAUCUUUUAUUAGUA
Long non-coding RNA from Malus domestica (apple), 878 nucleotides. RefSeq lists it as uncharacterized. Lineage: Eukaryota; Viridiplantae; Streptophyta; Magnoliopsida; Rosales; Rosaceae. The record is from RefSeq and is a predicted model, not a curated record.